CCUAUUUCUAAAGCGUUGCUGCCAUUUUCCACCUGCAGCUGCAGAGUCCGCAACUUGUGGGCAGUGGGCGUGGUCUGUCCAGGACACAUGGAUUCUACUGCGCAUGUGCAGAGGACCACUCCAGCGGCACUUGGCGUCUCCCUGGUGACUCAUCCUCUGCAGCGCCUCCCAGCCAUUUAUUGGUCGCUUGUAAAUCUCCAUUUAUGAUGAGCCUGAUCAAACUUCUUUGUCCGUGUUGUUCAUCAUGUUACUCGAUUGUAAGUUUUUUUAAUUUGUACAAGAAUUUGCCAGAUACAUGAAUUGUAAAUAUUUUCUUGCCUAUUCAUUUUCUUAAUAGUAUCUUUGAUGAAGUAUUUAAUUUUGAUCUUUUUUCUUUCUAUGAUUAGUGCAUUCUGGGUCCUAGCUAAGAAAUCGUUUUCUAAUUCAAGGUGGUGAAGUUAUUCUGCUAUACUGGAAUAGGUAUUCUGCUGUUGUCCUUUAGAAAUGAAACUUUUAUUUUUAUUUUUUUAGAAAUGAAACUUUUAGUUUUAAUUUUUAGGUUUCUUACAUAUCUCUAAUUUUGCUUUUAUAAAUGCAGGUUUUGGAAAAUGCAGGAAGAAAAAUUUCUAAAUGUAGUAUUUCACAAUGCUUUUAUAAUUAUAAUACCAUUAUAUUAUGCCAAUUAAAAAUAAUAACCUGAGAAGGAAAUGGAAACCACUGCAGUAUUCUUGCCUAGGAAAUCAGCAUGGACAGUGAAGCCUGGUGGGCUACAACCACAACGUAGCAACUAAACAACAAUAACAACAACAAAUAAUAAAGGAAACUCUGCUUCAUGUGUUAGAUAACACUUUUGUAACCUCUAUUAUGACCAAGAGUCUUGACAAAGUUUUCACCUGAAUUUAUUUAGGCUCUUAGGAUUUAAGAAGUCUCUGGACAAUGAACCGAGAAAUGCUAAGAAUCCAAAAUGUGGUUUAUAUAUAGCAGUGGUUUCAACCAGGGUAGGAGACAUUUGGCAAUGUUUACAGAUAUUUUUGUUGUUACCAGUGGGGGUGUGUG
RNAcentral lists this long non-coding RNA (1035 nucleotides) under Bos grunniens (domestic yak). Its description in RNAcentral is "lncRNA (ENSBGRG00000025852.1)". The record is from RNAcentral. Lineage: Eukaryota; Metazoa; Chordata; Mammalia; Artiodactyla; Bovidae.